CGGCGUCGAGCGGCGGACGGGUGAGUAAUGCCUAGGAAAUUGCCCUGAUGUGGGGGAUAACCAUUGGAAACGAUGGCUAAUACCGCAUAAUACCUACGGGUCAAAGAGGGGGACCUUCGGGCCUCUCGCGUCAGGAUAUGCCUAGGUGGGAUUAGCUAGUUGGUGAGGUAAUGGCUCACCAAGGCGACGAUCCCUAGCUGGUCUGAGAGGAUGAUCAGCCACACUGGAACUGAGACACGGUCCAGACUCCUACGGGAGGCAGCAGUGGGGAAUAUUGCACAAUGGGCGCAAGCCUGAUGCAGCCAUGCCGCGUGUGUGAAGAAGGCCUUCGGGUUGUAAAGCACUUUCAGUCGUGAGGAAGGUAGUGUAGUUAAUAGCUGCAUUAUUUGACGUUAGCGACAGAAGAAGCACCGGCUAACUCCGUGCCAGCAGCCGCGGUAAUACGGAGGGUGCGAGCGUUAAUCGGAAUUACUGGGCGUAAAGCGCAUGCAGGUGGUUUGUUAAGUCAGAUGUGAAAGCCCGGGGCUCAACCUCGGAAUAGCAUUUGAAACUGGCAGACUAGAGUACUGUAGAGGGGGGUAGAAUUUCAGGUGUAGCGGUGAAAUGCGUAGAGAUCUGAAGGAAUACCGGUGGCGAAGGCGGCCCCCUGGACAGAUACUGACACUCAGAUGCGAAAGCGUGGGGAGCAAACAGGAUUAGAUACCCUGGUAGUCCACGCCGUAAACGAUGUCUACUUGGAGGUUGUGGCCUUGAGCCGUGGCUUUCGGAGCUAACGCGUUAAGUAGACCGCCUGGGGAGUACGGUCGCAAGAUUAAAACUCAAAUGAAUUGACGGGGGCCCGCACAAGCGGUGGAGCAUGUGGUUUAAUUCUAUGCAACGCGAAGAACCUUACCUACUCUUGACAUCCAGAGAACUUUCCAGAGAUGGAUUGGUGCCUUCGGGAACUCUGAGACAGGUGCUGCCAGGCUGUCGUCAGCUCGUGUUGUGAAAUGUUGGGUUAAGUCCC
RNAcentral lists this ribosomal RNA (1006 nucleotides) under Vibrio sp. RNAcentral's name for it is "bacterial SSU rRNA". It matches the Rfam family "Bacterial small subunit ribosomal RNA", at positions 86 to 1088 of the family's 1533-position model. Lineage: Bacteria; Pseudomonadati; Pseudomonadota; Gammaproteobacteria; Vibrionales; Vibrionaceae. The record is from RNAcentral.